Molecule: ribosomal RNA, 465 nt
Filed under: uncultured bacterium
Lineage: Bacteria
Description: bacterial SSU rRNA
Rfam family: Bacterial small subunit ribosomal RNA
Source: RNAcentral
UGCCAGACUCCUACGGGAGGCAGCAGUGAGGAAUAUUGGUCAAUGGCCGGAAGGCUGGACCAGCCAUGCCGCGUGAAGGUCAGUGCCCUAUGGGCGUUAAACUUCUUUUGUGCGGGAGCAAUAAUGGUCACGUGUGGCCAGACGAGAGUACCGUACGAAUAAGCAUCGGCUAACUCCGUGCCAGCAGCCGCGGUAAUACGGAGGAUCCGAGCGUUAUCCGGAUUUAUUGGGUUUAAAGGGAGCGUAGAUGGGUUGUUAAGUCAGUUGUGAAAGUUUGCGGCUCAACCGUAAAAUUGCAAUUGAUACUGGCAGCCUUGAGUACAGUUGAGGUAGGCGGAAUUCGUGGUGUAGCGGUGAAAUGCUUAGAUAUCACGCAGAACUCCGAUUGCGAAGGCAGCGUACCGGCGCCCAACUGACGCUGAAGCACGAAGGCGUGGGUAUCGAACAGGAUUAGAUACCCGCGUA